AUUGAACGCUGGCGGCAUGCCUUACACAUGCAAGUCGAACGGUAACAGGUCUUCGGAUGCUGACGAGUGGCGAACGGGUGAGUAAUACAUCGGAACGUGCCUAGUAGUGGGGGAUAACUACUCGAAAGAGUGGCUAAUACCGCAUGAGAUCUACGGAUGACAGCAGGGGAUCGCAAGACCUUGUGCUACUAGAGCGGCCGAUGGCAGAUUAGGUAGUUGGUGGGGUAAAAGCUUACCAAGCCGACGAUCGGUAGCUGGUCUGAGAGGACGAUCGGCGAAACUGGGACUGAGAAACGGCUCAGGCGCCUAAGGGAGGCAGCAGUGGGGAAUUUUGGACAAUGGGCGCAAGCCUGAUCCAGCAAUGCCGCGUGCAGGAUGAAGGCCUUCGGGUUGUAAACUGCUUGUGUACGGAACGAAAAGCCCCGGGUUAAUACCCUGGGGUCAUGACGGUACCGUAAGAAUAAGCACCGGCUAACUACGUGCCAGCAGCCGCAGUAA
Molecule: ribosomal RNA, 498 nt
Filed under: uncultured bacterium
Lineage: Bacteria
Description: partial 16S ribosomal RNA
Rfam family: Bacterial small subunit ribosomal RNA
Source: RNAcentral